RNAcentral lists this ribosomal RNA (173 nucleotides) under Listeria monocytogenes. RNAcentral's name for it is "partial 16S ribosomal RNA". It matches the Rfam family "Bacterial small subunit ribosomal RNA", at positions 1 to 168 of the family's 1533-position model. The record is from RNAcentral. Lineage: Bacteria; Bacillati; Bacillota; Bacilli; Caryophanales; Listeriaceae.
UUUAAAGAGAGUUUGAUCCUGGCUCAGGACGAACGCUGGCGGCGUGCCUAAUACAUGCAAGUCGAACGAACGGAGGAAGAGCUUGCUCUUCCAAAGUUAGUGGCGGACGGGUGAGUAACACGUGGGCAACCUGCCUGUAAGUUGGGGAUAACUCCGGGAAACCGGGGCUAAUA